CCUAUAUAAAUUCCUAUUGUUUUUGCCGCAUGGCAAAUUUUCUUUCAACUUCACUAGAUCUUUUUUUGAACUCAUAUUUGCUCUUGACUCUCCCCCCUCAUCUCUAUUUAAUGACCUAUAAUUAAUGUGCUCUUUAAUUUAUACGUUACUUAUUUUCCUCUUCAAUAUUAGUCAUUUCUUCUCCAUCAAACCUCCUUUCAACACCAAACCCUUCACCUCCAAAUCCUUUAAAAUCACGAGAAUUAAUUAAUCGAAAAUGCAACAUUUAAUUAUAUGCACCAUAUUCCACCAAUGAGUGGGCUUUAUAACUCCAAUUCACUCCCCAUCUCCAUUAAUCCCCCACCCCUCCCUUUUGCAUGGCCUCUUAUUUUCCAUGCAAAAAAGAAUAUCAUCAUCUAAUUUCCCACCCUGCACUCAUCUAGCUUUUUCUCUCUCAUUGUAUUAAUGAAGAUGAUGAGGAUGAUGAAGAAGAAGAAGAAAAAGAAAAAGUGCAUGCGAAGAACGUUGUCUCCUUCGAGAAGCAUCGUCCCGCAAAGUCGAGCCGUGGCCCAUAUAAGUGUCUGCUGGGUUGAUUCAACUACUCUGUGGCCCAUAUAAGUGCUAGCUCUUUUUUUUUCUUUCACAACGGAAUGUUCAAAAGGCACAUAAUACUAUAAAAUUGUAGUCUAUUACUGUAUUUCAAUGAUUUUUAAAAAAUUAUAUAAGCUUCUAACUAUAAUUUUAUUUUUUUAGUAGUUGAAUUUAGUCAUGCAAAUUGACUGUGCUUAACAUGGUAUAAUUUCCUAUACAUCAAUAAGCUGUAAAUAUAAAUUUUAUUAAAAUUUUAAAAUUUUGUUUCUAUUAUCUACCCGCUGCAUCGCACGGGUCUCUACACUAGUAAUCUUAUUAUUUGGGAACACAAAGGAAGCCUCCCGGGUUUGGGGGGCUUCCGGUGGGCCCCACUUUUUUCUCUUUUUUUUGUUGUCCUUUUCCCUUCUCUCUCUCUCUCUUCAACAAAUUUUUUUAUUUUUUCUUACAGUAAGUGUAAAAUUUUAUCACAUGAAUCAAUCUUAUUUUUUAAUAAUCAAUAUAACAAAAUUAAAAUUUUAUUUAAUAAAUAUCAAUAUAUUUUUUUUUAUUUUUUUUCUAUAUCAAGUAUAAAAUUUUAUCGUAUAGAGAAAUCCUAUUUUUUAAUAAUCAAGAUAACAAAAUUAAAAUUUCAUCUAAUUAGGAAUCCAAAAAUGAUCUCCCCUUAUUUUAGAGGGUUGUGUGGCCCACAAAUUUUUUUUUGUAUUUUUUUAGGAUUAAUCGUAUAGUGCUUUCCAAACUUUCCACCAUUUUUUCUGUUCCUAAAUUUUUUCAAACCUCUUAAUUCCAUCGCGAUAAAAUAGCAACCGUUAAAACAUAUUUUAGAAUUAACGAAAUUACCUAUUUAACUUUUUUUGCAUGCUAAUUUUAAUCCCUAAAUUUUGCAUAUUUUUCACUUUAGUCCCCAAAACAUAUAUGAAUUGGCAACACUAAAGAAUACCUCUUAUUAUUUUGGAGGGUUGUGAGGUCCACACAAUUUUUUUAAGGAUUAAUUUAUAUAUAUAAGAUUUAAUAUUUUUAGAAAGAAAUCUACUUUAAUUUCAUUCUUUAAUUUUUUAUUAUUCAAUAUUGAGAUAAAUAAUAUUUAAAAAUAUUAAGGCAUAAUAGAAAAAAAAAAUAAUGUUAAUAAUUAUAAUAGUUUACUAUUGUAUUAUCUUCCCGCCGUAUCGCGCGGGAGCUCCUUAACUAGUUAAUGUAAUUUACGAGCAAAAAC
RNAcentral lists this long non-coding RNA (1780 nucleotides) under Ananas comosus (pineapple). Its description in RNAcentral is "long non-coding RNA (ACOM_LNC019158)". The record is from RNAcentral. Lineage: Eukaryota; Viridiplantae; Streptophyta; Magnoliopsida; Poales; Bromeliaceae.